CAAGAAUGCCCAGGAAACUACUGUGCAGAUCCUGAUUAGACGGAGGUGCUGAUCUUUGCUUUUCAUCUUAUGAAUGGGGAAACUGAAGCAUGAUGGAAUAAAAAGGAGAUUAAGUGAGAAGUCAGAGAGGAGACUCCACACCCAGAGCACAAGAGUCAGCAUUUAAUAUCUGUACCCACAGUAUUUUUUUCCCAACUUAUAAAUGCUCUCAAGAAAGAGAAC
Molecule: long non-coding RNA, 222 nt
Filed under: Fukomys damarensis (Damara mole-rat)
Lineage: Eukaryota; Metazoa; Chordata; Mammalia; Rodentia; Bathyergidae
Description: lncRNA (ENSFDAG00000027876.1)
Source: RNAcentral